GGUUUGAUUCUGGCUCGGACCAGACUGGCAGGAUGCUUUACACAUGCAAGUCGAACGGCAGCACGGACUUCGGUCUGGUGGCGAGCGGCGAACGGGUGAGUAAUGUAUCCGGAACGUGCUAAACAGCGGGGGAUAACUACGCGAAAGCGUAGCGAAUACACCGCAUACGCCCUUCGGGGGAAAGCGGGGACCUUCGAGGCCUCGCACUAUUAGAGCGGCCGAUAUCCGGAUUGGCUAGUUGGUGGUAACGGCUCGCAAGGCGACGAUCCGUAGCUGGUUUGAGAGGACGACCAGCCACACUGGGACUGAGACACGGCCAGAUACCUGGGCAGCGGUGAAAUUUUUGGACAAUGGGAAACCUGAUCCAGCCAUCCCGCGUGUGCGAUGAAGGCCUUCGGGUUGUAAAGCUUGCUUUUGGCAGGAAAGAAACGGCACCGGAUAUUACCCGUGCAACUGACCAGGAAACACCUGCAGAAUGGCACCAGCUAUUACGGUACAGCGGCGCGGUAAUACGUAGGGUGCGAAAGCGUUAAUCGGAAUUACUGGGCGUAAGCGUGCGCAGACGGUUCGGAAAGAAGAUGUGAAAUCCCGAGCUUAACUUGGAACUACAUUUUUAACUACCGAGCUAGAGUGUCAGAGGGAGAGGAGUGGAAUUCCGCGUGCCAGUGAAAUGCGUAGAUAUGCGGAGGAACUACAGAUGGCGAAGGCAGCCUCCUGGGAUAACGCUGACGCUCGCUGAAAGCGUGGGAGCAAACAGGAUUAGAUACCCUGGUAGUCCGCCACCUAAACGAUGUAACUAGCUGUUGGGGCCUUCGGGCCUUGGUAGCGCAAUAACGGCGUGAAGUUGACCUGGGAGUACGGUCGCAAGAUUAAAACUCAAAGGAAUUGACGGGGACCCGCACAAGCGGUGGAUGAUGGAUUAAUUCGAUGCAACAUGAAAACCUUACCUACCCUUGACAUGUCUGGAAUCCCGAAGAGAUUUGGGAGUGCUGCAAGAGAACCGGAACACAGGUGCUGCAUGGCUGUCGUCAGCUCGUGCUCGUGAGAUGUUGGGUUAAGUCCCGCAACAGGCGCAACCCUUGUCAUUAGUUGCUACGAAGAAAGGCACUCUAAUGCGGAGACUGCCGGUGACAAACCGGAGGAAAGGUGGAUGACGUCAGUCCUCAUGGCUUCGGGUGAUAGGGCUUACACAUCGCCACAAUGGUCGGGAUGAGGGUCGCCAACCCGCGAGGAGCAAUCCCAGAAACCCGAUCGUAGUCGGAUCGCAGUCUGCAACUCGGCCAAACAAUCGGAAUCGCUAGUAAUCGCGGAUCAGCAUGUCGCGUUGAAUACGUUCCCAGAUUCUUACUUUUACACCGCCCGUCACACCAUGGGAGUGGGUUUUACCAGAAGUAGUUAGCUAACGUAAGGAGGGCGAUUACGGUAAGUUCAUGACUGGGGUGAAGUCGUAAAAUAAACCUGUUGCCUGAC
This 1470-nucleotide ribosomal RNA is filed under the name uncultured Bordetella sp. Its description in RNAcentral is "partial 16S-23S ribosomal RNA intergenic spacer". It matches the Rfam family "Bacterial small subunit ribosomal RNA". The record is from RNAcentral. Lineage: Bacteria; Pseudomonadati; Pseudomonadota; Betaproteobacteria; Burkholderiales; Alcaligenaceae.